Molecule: non-coding RNA, 92 nt
Organism: Desarmillaria ectypa
Lineage: Eukaryota; Fungi; Basidiomycota; Agaricomycetes; Agaricales; Physalacriaceae
Source: the annotation of a GenBank genome assembly
GGGUCGAUGGCGUAGCUGGUUAUCGCAUCUGUCUAACAUAGUCCUGCACCCUUGUUCACAGAAGGUCCUCAGUUCGAACCUGGGUCGACUCA